CCGCACUGUUCGUAACCUGGUCCGGCCUCCGUCUGGACUCUGGUUCCAUUCCAGUGCCACAGUGACUCCAGUGAGGCAGGGGAGUGGGGCCCGUCAGUGCUGAGCUCCCUGUUCACUCUCUGGAAACAUGG
Small nucleolar RNA from Salarias fasciatus (jewelled blenny), 131 nucleotides. Lineage: Eukaryota; Metazoa; Chordata; Actinopteri; Blenniiformes; Blenniidae. The record is from Ensembl.